Long non-coding RNA from Mercurialis annua (annual mercury), 760 nucleotides. RefSeq lists it as uncharacterized. The record is from RefSeq and is a predicted model, not a curated record. Lineage: Eukaryota; Viridiplantae; Streptophyta; Magnoliopsida; Malpighiales; Euphorbiaceae. The transcript has 2 exons.
UUGAUUUUCAACAAUUAGAGUGUUUUGGUAGUCUCCAAUUUUUUUGAACUACUUAUUUUAUUUUUAAUUAAUUUAAUAAUUUAUUAUACUUAUCUUGAAAGCUAAUAGUUAUUUAAGUUUUAUCCCCUUUAAUUUAGGAUUAUUACGUUGGCAAUACGUAUUUAUUUUCUAAUGAACUACUUAACCAUUGUUUAUCUAGAAUACAAACUUCUAUUUAUUGUGAGUCAAUACAAGAUUAGCAGUUGAGUUUAGUAUAUUAUUUGUAUGAUUCUUCGUAUUUGAUCUGUUGCACCAUCCUAUUUUUAUUUGCAGAAGAUAGUGGUAGUUUUGUCUUUGAGAAUUGGACCCAUUCCAAGGGUUACAAUGUCUGAGUUCAAAUACAAGUAUGCAUUUGAAGCCUAUAUUGCACAGAGAAUGUUUCAUGGGAUAUCACUUAAAUCUUAUAAUGUGAAUGCAGUUUGAUGAUCCCAUAGAUUAUCUGAUAGAAAAACUCAAUUCAGAAUUUUUCACUUUUUGCGGAAACAAAUAUUUGUUAGAUAUUCAUCAUGUAAUGGAGAUGUCCUUCUUUGGUAAUUUGGACCAAAGGUUGUUUGUAUUGAGCGACAAGCAUCCGAGAACAACGUUCUAUCAAAUAUUUGCAGGAAUGGCAAAGUAGAUGUAGGUUCUACAAGGGAUUGGAUCUUUAACAUUAAUUGUUUAUUUGUAUGCGUUAUCUCUUUUUCUGAUUUUAAUUAUUAUAAAUAUUAUUUUCUCUUUUUAA